UGAGCUGAGAGUUUGAUCCUGGCUCAGGACGAACGCUGGCGGCGUGCUUAACACAUGCAAGUUGGACGACGAUUGCCGGAAGUAGAGAUACGGAAGGCAAAGCGGA
Molecule: ribosomal RNA, 106 nt
Filed under: Synergistaceae bacterium
Lineage: Bacteria; Thermotogati; Synergistota; Synergistia; Synergistales; Synergistaceae
Description: partial 16S ribosomal RNA
Rfam family: Bacterial small subunit ribosomal RNA
Source: RNAcentral